Molecule: ribosomal RNA, 252 nt
Filed under: uncultured bacterium
Lineage: Bacteria
Description: partial 16S ribosomal RNA
Rfam family: Bacterial small subunit ribosomal RNA
Source: RNAcentral
UACGUAGGGUGCAAGCGUUAAUCGGAAUUACUGGGCGUAAAGCGUGCGCAGGCGGUUUUUAAGUCUGUCGUGAAAGCCCCGGGCUCAACCUGGGAAUUGCGAUGGAGACUGCAAGGCUUGAAUCUGGCAGAGGGGGGUAGAAUUCCACGUGUAGCAGUGAAAUGCGUAGAGAUGUGGAGGAACACCGAUGGCGAAGGCAGCCCCCUGGGUCAAGAUUGACGCUCAUGCACGAAAGCGUGGGGAGCAAACAGG